This 187-nucleotide non-coding RNA is filed under the name Anaerovibrio lipolyticus. Lineage: Bacteria; Bacillati; Bacillota; Negativicutes; Selenomonadales; Selenomonadaceae. The record is from RNAcentral.
UUUAAUAAAACUGAAACAGGUGCCGUGAGGCUUAAUAGAGAAGCUGGUCAAGUCCAGCACGGUCCCGCCACUGUAAGAGGAGCGAAGCUAUAGAAUUUGUCACUGGGUUACGGUUAAUGUAAUCUGGGAAGGCGUGUAGCAGAGCUAUGAAUCAAGUCAGGAGAACUGCCUGUUUAUAAAUCACCGU